RNAcentral lists this ribosomal RNA (442 nucleotides) under uncultured bacterium. Its description in RNAcentral is "bacterial SSU rRNA". It matches the Rfam family "Bacterial small subunit ribosomal RNA", at positions 26 to 507 of the family's 1533-position model. The record is from RNAcentral.
UACAGAACGAACGCUGGCGGCAGGCCUAAACAUGCAAGUUGAACGGUUGUAGCAAUACAACGAGUAGCGGACGGGUGAGUAAUGUAUGGGAACAUGUCCUUUAGUGGGGAAUAGCUUCUGGAAACGGAGGUAAUACCGCAUAAGACCUGAGGGUGAAAGCAUUUAUGCGCUAAAGGGUUGGCCCAUAUCAGAUUAGCUAGUUGGUUAGGUAAAAGCUGACCAAGGCGACGAUCUGUAGCUGGUUUGAGAGGAUGAUCAGCCACAAUGGGACUGAGACACGGCCCAUACUCCUACGGGAGGCAGCAGUAGGGAAUUUUGCGCAAUGGGCGAAAGCCUGACGCAGCAACGCCGCGUGAUUGAAGAAGCCCUUCGGGGUGUAAAGAUCUGUCAGUGGGGACGAAACUUGACGGUACCCACAGAGGAAGCAUCGGCUAACUCCGUG